GUAGGUGGCAAGCGUUGUCCGGAUUUACUGGGCGUAAAGAGCGCGCAGGCGGCCGAGUAAGUCGAAUGUGAAAGCCCCCGGCUCAACUGGGGAAGGUCAUUCGAUACUGUUCGGCUCGAAGAUAGGAGAGGGAAGCGGAAUUUCAGGUGUAGUGGUGAAAUGCGUAGAUAUCUGAAGGAACACCAGUGGCGAAGGCGGCUUUCUGGCCUAUUCUUUACGCUGAGGCGCGAAAGCUAGGGGAGCGAACGGGAUUAGAUACCCCGGUAGUCCUAGCCGUAAACGAUGAACACUAGAUGUUGGUGGUAUCAACCCCGCCAGUGUCGUAGCUAACGCAUUAAGUGUUCCGCCUGGGGAGUACGGCCGCAAGGCUA
RNAcentral lists this ribosomal RNA (371 nucleotides) under uncultured bacterium. Its description in RNAcentral is "bacterial SSU rRNA". It matches the Rfam family "Bacterial small subunit ribosomal RNA", at positions 527 to 896 of the family's 1533-position model. The record is from RNAcentral.